RNAcentral lists this long non-coding RNA (483 nucleotides) under Androctonus crassicauda. The record is from RNAcentral. Lineage: Eukaryota; Metazoa; Arthropoda; Arachnida; Scorpiones; Buthidae.
CUUUUGAAUGCAUCAUUUAAUUUCUUUGAAAUUUUAACAGUUACUAGUUCAAACAUAAGACUAUCAAAAAAUAUUAAUGCCCACUAGAUAGCACUUAUAGUGUAUGUAAUAGAAAUUCAAUCUGAUUAUAUAUGAGAUAUAUUCUUUAAUACAAACAUCAUAAAGCACAUUUUUACAUGAAUGCAAGCAGAAGGAAUAAUAAGUAUCUUCAUUUGAUAAAUUUAUUAAAUCAACUAAUACAAAUAGAUUGAAAUGUAUUUCCACUGGCAAUGUAUGCAUGCAUAAAGCUGUACCAAACAGGUCUACCAAAUUGCUGUUGACACGACAGAAAUUAUUCAAUCAAAUUGUUACGAGAGAAUUUAUACUCUGUCACUUGUCGUUGGCAUGUUUGCAAAUGAAUCAACGAAAUGAAUGUAAUGUAUAUAAUGAGAUCCAAUCAGUAUCAACUACCUUGUUUCAAGUUUCGACGUCAUUCAUUACUUC